UACGUAGGGAGCGAGCGUUGUCCGGAAUUACUGGGUGUAAAGGGAGCGUAGGCGGGAUGGUAAGUCAGGUGUGAAAUGUAUGGGCUCAACCUGUAAAUUGCACUUGAAACUGCUGUUCUUGAGUGAAGUAGAGGUAAGCGGAAUUCCCGGUGUAGCGGUGAAAUGCGUAGAUAUCGGGAGGAACAUCGGUGGCGAAGGCGGCUUACUGGGCUUUUACUGACGCUGAGGCUCGAAAGCGUGGGGAG
Molecule: ribosomal RNA, 245 nt
Filed under: uncultured Ruminococcus sp.
Lineage: Bacteria; Bacillati; Bacillota; Clostridia; Eubacteriales; Oscillospiraceae
Description: partial 16S ribosomal RNA
Rfam family: Bacterial small subunit ribosomal RNA
Source: RNAcentral